This is a long non-coding RNA of Brachypodium distachyon (stiff brome), 1103 nucleotides long. RefSeq lists it as uncharacterized. The record is from RefSeq and is a predicted model, not a curated record. The transcript is spliced from 2 exons. NCBI's taxonomy places the organism in Eukaryota, Viridiplantae, Streptophyta, Magnoliopsida, Poales, Poaceae.
UCAAAACCGCGUCAAUCUUUAUGGGACGGAGGGAGUACGAUGUUAAAUAUUCGUUGAUCAAACAGAAAAUAAACAAAAGCUACUACACGAUCUAUUUCGAUGCCAAGCUUCAGCCUAGUAGCACGAGAGCGCGAGAUCCUUUUCCAGCAAUCAGCACACUCCCGACUUCUCUGCGUCUUCGUGCAAGAUCGAGGUCUUGUUUGGGCUCUUAAUGGAAGAAGCAGAUAUGAAUUGGGGAAUAGUUCAUUCAUUCGUUCAUGUCUUUCUUACACAGCCACAAAACACUUUCUUAGCGCACCCAGCUGCACGCGCCAUCGGCAUCGCUAUUCUCCGCCUUCUCCUCUCCGAGGCGACUUCACACUUUACGCCUCCCCUGGUCUGUCAUCCUGAGGCUUGAAAUGACCAUGACGCUUGAGGUGGAUGGGCAAGCAGGAGCAGCAGCCGAGGUUUGCGUCUGCGGAGGCGCACGGACAGCUGCACUUGAACGAUGACGGGGAGCACAUGAAGUUCCGCAUCGGCUACCACCGAGCUCGCUAGCGCUUCCCAAAUCCCAAGGUCCUAUUUGUUUGGGCUUCUGUUUCAGUUUUUGAUGCUUCUAGUUUUCUAAAAAACACUUAUCCUGUUUACACAUGAAGCUGAAAAGCACGUCCAAAGAUGAGCUUCAUGUGUAAAUGAGAGAAGUGCUUUUUAGAGGACUAGAAGCACCAAAAGUUAAAGCAGAAAUCCAAACUAACAUGGCCUAAGCUUGGUGUACUGGAGUAUUUGGAAGCAUCGAAACACGGUGGUCUUCGACGGGGCGAUGCCGAGCGCGCUUCACAUCCUCCGCAAUUGGCCAGGAAGGAGAUGCUUGGCGACGUGUGGGAUUGUUCGUGGGUUUGUUACUUUUUUUGUGAUUUUAGAUGUAGCGUGGAUGUUGCGUGAGUAAUCCCUGCAAUUGAUUAGGGUCUAUCCACGCAUUAAAGAAGAAGAUACAUCCUGCAGGAAUUUAUUGCGUUGUCAUUAUUUUUUGUAUUUUCAGUGUUAACUUGGCUGUGAUUAGGGUCUCCAAUGAUCAUAUGUUUUGUAGUAAAAGUAAGCAUCGAAGAACCCAACGCAGAAGUAAA